AUAUUUCCCUGGGUCAAUUGAACGGUGAGACGCGGUAGUUAGGCAGCAGAAACGACUGCGGCUGGAGAGUGCUGGGUUAAGGUCCCUUCUCAUUCACCUAAAGGCAACGCGUGGUUUCGCCGUCGAUCGGGUUCGGACGCUGCGGGAGACAGGAUGAAGUUGAUGCUCAUUCUGCAGGCGUGUUUGGUGGUCGCAGCAAUGGCGGAGACCUGGCAACAGAAGUACGAUAGCUGGGCUUCGAAUCUGAAACCCGGAUGGACAAUUCAGACAACAAUCCAGGAUGGACGCAAAUGCUACUGUAAAAUGCCGAAUGAAACAGUGCCUUUUCAAUCGUCGUUUGGAGGUGAGGGACAAAUUUGAAUGCACAGG
Molecule: long non-coding RNA, 369 nt
Organism: Penaeus monodon (black tiger shrimp)
Lineage: Eukaryota; Metazoa; Arthropoda; Malacostraca; Decapoda; Penaeidae
Exons: 3
Source: RefSeq, a predicted model, not a curated record